Psammomys obesus (fat sand rat) is the source of this 507-nucleotide long non-coding RNA. RefSeq lists it as uncharacterized. NCBI's taxonomy places the organism in Eukaryota, Metazoa, Chordata, Mammalia, Rodentia, Muridae. The record is from RefSeq and is a predicted model, not a curated record. The transcript has 3 exons.
GAAAUGUCUCUCGGUAUGUGCAGCUUUCAAUUGGUUCAGUAAGAAGAGAUACUGAAAGAACAAAAGUGUCUCUUUGCAGCCAUACAUUGUUUUGAAUGUUUCACCUUCUGGAUUUGGAGAGUUGGUACUAGGGUUUUGGAUGCUCCCAUCCCCAGGGUUUGUUGCCUGGAAACUAGCCAAGGAUCUGAUGACAAAGCGACAAUCAUGGCUUCAUCCUCUGGAGAAACUGGCGGCCAGCUUCCAAAAUGGAUACUUCGAAACAAGUUAUGAUGUUAAGUCAACCAUCACACUCGUUCUUGGAUCAGUUGUUUCGGAGGAAGCCAGUUCUGUGGAGAUGCCUUCCUGUCAGCAGCCAGCACCAGCUGCCAGCCAUGUGAGUGAGCCACUUUGGAAGUGGGUCCUCCAGACCUUACAGAUGCUUCACACGCAGUCCCCUGAGAGGUUUCAAGUCAGAAUUGUCUUGCUAACGCACUCAUGAGUUCCCUGCCCAAAGAAGCUCACAUUAUG